GACGAACGCUGGCGGCGUGCUUAACACAUGCAAGUCGAACGGAAAAGCGCUGUCUUUGUUGGUUGGUGUGGUGGCGAGCCGGAGGGGUAAACGUGAGUAACCUAACCUUGCCUUUUGUAUUACUUAACGGCACUGGGGCUUAUACCAUAUGGGAUCUUCUGCUGCAUUGUGGUGAUGGGAAUGUUUCGGCGGUUGGUGAUGGACUGGCGGGUCAUCCGCUUGUUGGUGGGGUAGUUGCUUAGCAGGGCUAUGAAGGGUAGCCGGCCUGAGAGGGUGACCGGCCACAUUGGGACUGAGAGACGGCCCAGACGCCUACGGGAGGCAGCAGUGGGGAAUAUUGCACAAUGGGCGGAAGCCUGAUGCAGCAACGCCGCGUGCGGGAUGACGGCCUUCGGGUUGUAAACCGCUUUCGCCUGUGACGAAGCGUGAGUGACGGUAAUGGGUAAAGAAGCACCGGCUAACUACGUG
This 468-nucleotide ribosomal RNA is filed under the name uncultured bacterium. Its description in RNAcentral is "partial 16S ribosomal RNA". It matches the Rfam family "Bacterial small subunit ribosomal RNA", at positions 28 to 507 of the family's 1533-position model. The record is from RNAcentral.